This 560-nucleotide ribosomal RNA is filed under the name Oceanobacillus sp. RNAcentral's name for it is "bacterial SSU rRNA". It matches the Rfam family "Bacterial small subunit ribosomal RNA", at positions 95 to 641 of the family's 1533-position model. Lineage: Bacteria; Bacillati; Bacillota; Bacilli; Caryophanales; Bacillaceae. The record is from RNAcentral.
GCGGCGGACGGGUGAGUAACACGUGGGCAACCUGCCUGUAAGAUCGGGAUAACUCGCGGAAACGUGAGCUAAUACCGGAUAACACUUUUCAUCUCAUGGUGAGAAGAUAAAAGACGGUUUCGGCUGUCACUUACAGAUGGGCCCGCGGCGCAUUAGCUAGUUGGUGAGGUAACGGCUCACCAAGGCGACGAUGCGUAGCCGACCUGAGAGGGUGAUCGGCCACACUGGGACUGAGACACGGCCCAGACUCCUACGGGAGGCAGCAGUAGGGAAUCUUCCGCAAUGGACGAAAGUCUGACGGAGCAACGCCGCGUGAGUGAUGAAGGUUUUCGGAUCGUAAAACUCUGUUGUUAGGGAAGAACAAGUUGGGUAGUAACUGACCCAACCUUGACGGUACCUAACCAGAAAGCCACGGCUAACUACGUGCCAGCAGCCGCGGUAAUACGUAGGUGGCAAGCGUUGUCCGGAAUUAUUGGGCGUAAAGCGCUCGCAGGCGGUCUUUUAAGUCUGAUGUGAAAGCCCACGGCUUAACCGUGGAGGGUCAUUGGAAACUGGAGGAC